This 253-nucleotide ribosomal RNA is filed under the name uncultured bacterium. RNAcentral's name for it is "partial 16S ribosomal RNA". It matches the Rfam family "Bacterial small subunit ribosomal RNA", at positions 524 to 776 of the family's 1533-position model. The record is from RNAcentral.
UACAGAGGGGGCAAGCGUUGUUCGGAAUUACUGGGCGUAAAGGGCGCGUAGGCGGCCUUCUAAGUCGAACGUGAAAUCCCCGGGCUCAACCCGGGAACUGCGUCCGAUACUGGAAGGCUUGAAUCCGGGAGAGGGAUGUGGAAUUCCAGGUGUAGCGGUGAAAUGCGUAGAUAUCUGGAGGAACACCGGUGGCGAAGGCGCCCACCUGGCCUGCUACUGACGCUGAAGCUCGAAAGCUAGGGGAGCAAACGGG